Molecule: ribosomal RNA, 747 nt
Filed under: Laparocerus lauripotens
Lineage: Eukaryota; Metazoa; Arthropoda; Insecta; Coleoptera; Curculionidae
Description: eukaryotic LSU rRNA
Rfam family: Eukaryotic large subunit ribosomal RNA
Source: RNAcentral
AAACCGUUUAGGGGUAAACCUGAGAAACCCGAAAGGUCGAAGGGAGAAAUUCAUUCGCGUUUCGCGGUCGGCGUGAGACGGUCGUGUGACGGAAAACGUUCGCGUUUUCCGCACCUUUCGUUUUUCGAUCCGAUAGCGAACGCGUGCACUUUUCUCCUGGUAGGACGUCGCGAUCCGUUGGGUGUCGGUCUACGGCUCGCGGUGGAGACCGGAUGUACGGCUUGCCGUCACGUCCGGACCCGCGUGUCCCGGCUGACUCGCUCGACGGUAUACGAAAGGUUUAAGGCCGCUCUUAGAGCGUUCGGCUCGUCGCAAGCGCGUCAGAUGUGUGUCGGUGAUCGGACCUAGUGCCGGUUCUGACCUCUGGCGACUGUUGGCGGCGAAGUUCUCGAACAGACCUUCGACCGAUCUGCGACGCUAUAGCUUUGGGUACUUUCAGGACCCGUCUUGAAACACGGACCAAGGAGUCUAGCAUGUGCGCGAGUCAUUGGGAAUCAUUAAACCUAAAGGCGCAAUGAAAGUAAAGGUCCGCCUUGCGCGGACUGAGGGAAGACGAGCGGUUUACCCUUAAAAGUGGCCGCUCCGCAUUCCCGGGGCGUCUCAUUCUCAUCGCGAGAAGAGGCGCACCAAGAGCGUACACGCUGGGACCCGAAAGAUGGUGAACUAUGCCUGGUCAGGACGAAGUCAGGGGAAACCCUGAUGGAGGUCCGUAGCGAUUCUGACGUGCAAAUCGAUCGUCGGAACUGG